Molecule: long non-coding RNA, 1232 nt
Filed under: Bos indicus x Bos taurus (hybrid cattle)
Lineage: Eukaryota; Metazoa; Chordata; Mammalia; Artiodactyla; Bovidae
Description: lncRNA (ENSBIXG00005029539.1)
Source: RNAcentral
CCUCCAUCCCCCUCCGAGACGAUACACAAAGAAGCUGAGAACAGGCCAUCAGUAUUAUUCUUCACAGUAACCAAAAGCAGGGAACAACCCGGGUGUCCGGCCGCUGACGAGUGGUGGGUGGAUGACACCCGCGGUCCGGCCGCUCAGCGGAACAGUGUUCCGCCAGCGAGGGGUGAAGCGGACACCGUGACCACACGGACGAGCCUUGGGAAGCUGAGGCUGUGUGAAGGCUUAGAAGGACAAGAGCAGUGUGAUUCCACCUGUGGGAAAUGCCCCACACGGGCACGUCUGUUCAGACCGAAACCCAGCGGUGGGGACAGGGGAAGGGGGCGACUGUUUAACAGACGCAGAAUUUCAGGUUGGGAGGCUGAAAAGUUUCUGGGAGCAGACAGGGGUGGUGGCUGCACAGACCGUGAACGUGACUCAGCCCCACCGGGUUGCGCUCUUGAAAACGGCCGAGGUGGCGGAAGCUCUGGUCUAUGUGUGUCGUCACUGCAGUCGGGGGCUCGGUCGUCUCUGACUCUUGGCGACCCUGGGGACUGUAGCCUGCCAGGCUCCCCUGUCUAUGGGAUCCUCCAGGCAAGAAUAUGGGAGUGGGUUGCCAUGCCCUCCUCCAGGGAAUCUUCCCGACCCCGGGGAUUGAACCCGAGUCUCCUACAUUGGCAGGUGGAUUCCUUACCACUGACCCACCCGGGAAGCUGCAAAAGAAUUAACAAAAUAUAUCCAAACUCACUGAAUUGUGCGCUUGGACUGGGUGCACUGAGCGGUCUGUCAAGCAUGCCUCAAGAAAGCCCUUAUAAGAGAAGAAGAGAUGCCCCAGAUCUGAGUGCUUCCUGAGCAGGUCGCCAAGGAUCUGCCCACCAGGCCCUGCUACCAACCCCACGAGGCAGGGGGUCGCAUCUUAGGGGGCUGCCAGGGGCCGCUGGGGAGGCAGCCCCGAGGGAUCCGACUCUCUGUUCUGGAAACAGACAUGGGGCCUAGCCUUCCCGGUCACCCACCACCCCCCUUAGAUGGGUGUGCGGUCCUCAGUCAAGGGCAGCCUCUGGGGUCCGGGGGCUGGGAGAGGCCCCUGCGGGGGCUGAUGUAGCCCUCCUCAGCUCAGCUCGCCAGUUCUCUGUGGGACAGAGACCCCUGAGCGUGCAGGCCCCUGAGGGUGGGGUGACAGCCCCCUCUCUGCCUGACAUCGGGUCGCUUUAGGACAGGGCCGGUUCGGAGCCAGGCCGAGCCAGGCC